CCUACGGGUGGCAGCAGUGGGGAAUAUUGGACAAUGGGCGCAAGCCUGAUCCAGCAAUGCCGCGUGGAUGAAGAAGGUCUUCGGAUUGUAAAGUCCUUUCGACGGGGACGAUGAUGACGGUACCCGUAGAAGAAGCCCCGGCUAACUUCGUGCCAGCAGCCGCGGUAAUACGAAGGGGGCUAGCGUUGCUCGGAAUUACUGGGCGUAAAGGGCGCGUAGGCGGCCGAUCAAGUCAGGCGUGAAAUUCCCGGGCUCAACCUGGGGGCUGCGCUUGAGACUGGUUGGCUAGAGGCCGAGAGAGGGUGGUGGAAUUCCCAGUGUAGAGGUGAAAUUCGUAGAUAUUGGGAAGAACACCGGUGGCGAAGGCGGCCACCUGGCUCGGUACUGACGCUGAGGCGCGACAGCGUGGGGAGCAAACAGGAUUAGAUACCCCAGUAGUC
Molecule: ribosomal RNA, 440 nt
Filed under: uncultured bacterium
Lineage: Bacteria
Description: bacterial SSU rRNA
Rfam family: Bacterial small subunit ribosomal RNA
Source: RNAcentral